Molecule: long non-coding RNA, 1184 nt
Organism: Panicum virgatum (switchgrass)
Lineage: Eukaryota; Viridiplantae; Streptophyta; Magnoliopsida; Poales; Poaceae
Exons: 2
Source: RefSeq, a predicted model, not a curated record
AUGCUCACCGUGCCACCACUGUCUGGUUUGCCGGGUACCAAUCCUCUCUGCACCCAGUCCACGCGCUCCGAAUCGUCGUUGCAAGCCCAGCGGCCGCGAGGUCUCGCACUCUUGCUCGGUUUUGCAGUUUGGGAUAAAGUAGUCCACUUGCAAUAAACUGAGAGGUUAUGUAAACUUUUUCUAAUACUGCCCAGGUGAUUGGAUCUAGUUGCAGUUGGUAAGCGGAAUUACUUUCUACUAGUUUUCAGUGUUCAACUGAUCGAUGAUUGCCUGGUAGACAUGUCCUAGGUGACCCUUCGGACUAGCUGGCAGGCAUCACAGAUAGUUUCAUCUACAUUUUAAUCCUUGAGGUAUGUUAUUAGGUACGCAUGACGUAAAAUUGUUAUAUGUGGAAUCUUUUAUGAAAUAUGUAUUCUUAGCCUGAGUGUGAGGUCAGGAAAUGGAUUUCUCCAUGAGCUCCAGCACAUGUCAUGGCAUUUCAGCUGCUGCCGAUUAAAUUUAUCAAGAUAUGAUAAGAUUUGUAAACUAAUGAGUUGAUGAUGGAGUCGGUGGGUGUUGUUGGCAAGUCGGUGUGCAGCUAAGGCUGCAACCACGUGUGGGAGUUGUUGGUGAGCCGGUAGACAUCAGAGAUGUGGCUGCAGCAGCACUUAUACCGCCUCUGCAGCAGUCGGAUGGUGUUGUUGAGAGCACAGCCGUGGUGAGUGAUAUGGCUAUGGAUGAGGCUGAUCCACACAAGGUGUGUGGAGCUGACCAAGAGGGCUUCACUAUUACUGAGGCUGAUGCUGGGACCAAUAUGCUUGGUGUCGUUGGGAUGGACGGUUGCGAGGAGGCUUUGGUGAUGCCGGUGAAGUUGGUUUCCGUGCAAGCACAGGGACCUAGUCGCCGCUCUAGCGCGAGAAGGGCGGGAUCUCUCGACGAGCACUCGUUGGUGAGGGCACAACGUCUUACUGCGAAACGCAACCUUGAUCCACAAGGAUGAAAUGGAACAAGGAAAAAGCGGUGUGAAGAGAUUGGAAAUUUGAGGCAAAUGCUGGAGCUUUUUCUAUUUUUGUUUUUGGUGUGUUGCUUUUGAUACUAGAAGAUAACAUGCAACUUGUUAUUUUGACAUGCUUCUCAAUGUAAAUCAAUGUAAAUAUGAGAUAUAUUUGAUUUAUGCUGUGGUAAAUGGGCUGGAUAUUUUAGUA